Molecule: ribosomal RNA, 301 nt
Filed under: uncultured bacterium
Lineage: Bacteria
Description: partial 16S ribosomal RNA
Rfam family: Bacterial small subunit ribosomal RNA
Source: RNAcentral
CAGUAGCCGCGGUAAUACGUAGGUGGCAAGCGUUGUCCGGAAUUAUUGGGCGUAAAGGGCUCGCAGGCGGUUUCUUAAGUCUGAUGUGAAAGCCCCCGGCUCAACCGGGGAGGGUCAUUGGAAACUGGGAAACUUGAGUGCAGAAGAGGAGAGUGGAAUUCCACGUGUAGUGGUGAAAUGCGUAGAGAUGUGGAGGAACACCAGUGGCGAAGGCGACUCUCUGGUCUGUAACUGACGCUGAGGAGCGAAAGCGUGGGGAGCGAACAGGAUUAGAUACCCCCGUAGUCCCUGUCUCUUAUAC